This 590-nucleotide ribosomal RNA is filed under the name Bacillus sp. (in: firmicutes). RNAcentral describes it as "bacterial SSU rRNA". It matches the Rfam family "Bacterial small subunit ribosomal RNA", at positions 57 to 631 of the family's 1533-position model. Lineage: Bacteria; Bacillati; Bacillota; Bacilli; Caryophanales; Bacillaceae. The record is from RNAcentral.
GCAGUCGAGCGGACAGAAGGGAGCUUGCUCCCGGAUGUUAGCGGCGGACGGGUGAGUAACACGUGGGUAACCUGCCUGUAAGACUGGGAUAACUCCGGGAAACCGGAGCUAAUACCGGAUAGUUCCUUGAACCGCAUGGUUCAAGGAUGAAAGACGGUUUCGGCUGUCACUUACAGAUGGACCCGCGGCGCAUUAGCUAGUUGGUGGGGUAAUGGCUCACCAAGGCGACGAUGCGUAGCCGACCUGAGAGGGUGAUCGGCCACACUGGGACUGAGACACGGCCCAGACUCCUACGGGAGGCAGCAGUAGGGAAUCUUCCGCAAUGGACGAAAGUCUGACGGAGCAACGCCGCGUGAGUGAUGAAGGUUUUCGGAUCGUAAAGCUCUGUUGUUAGGGAAGAACAAGUGCGAGAGUAACUGCUCGCACCUUGACGGUACCUAACCAGAAAGCCACGGCUAACUACGUGCCAGCAGCCGCGGUAAUACGUAGGUGGCAAGCGUUGUCCGGAAUUAUUGGGCGUAAAGGGCUCGCAGGCGGUUUCUUAAGUCUGAUGUGAAAGCCCCCGGCUCAACCGGGGAGGGUCAGUUGGA